CGUAGGUGGCAAGCGUUGUCCGGAGUUACUGGGUGUAAAGGGCGUGUAGGCGGGAAGAUAAGUCAGAUGUGAAAUUCCAUGGCUCAACUGUGGCGCUGCAUCUGAAACUAUUUUUCUUGAGUGAUGGAGAGGAAAGUGGAAUUCCUAGUGUAGCGGUGAAAUGCGUAGAUAUUAGGAGGAACACCAGUGGCGAAGGCGACUUUCUGGACAUUAACUGACGCUGAGGCGCGAAAGCGUGGGGAGCAAACAGGAUUAGAUACCCUGGUAGUCCACGCUGUAAACGAUGGAUACUAGGUGUAGGAGGUAUCGACCCCUUCUGUGCCGGAGUUAACACAAUAAGUAUCCCACCUGGGGAGUACGGCCGCAAGAUUG
This 372-nucleotide ribosomal RNA is filed under the name uncultured organism. RNAcentral's name for it is "bacterial SSU rRNA". It matches the Rfam family "Bacterial small subunit ribosomal RNA", at positions 526 to 896 of the family's 1533-position model. The record is from RNAcentral.